This 497-nucleotide ribosomal RNA is filed under the name uncultured bacterium. Its description in RNAcentral is "partial 16S ribosomal RNA". It matches the Rfam family "Bacterial small subunit ribosomal RNA", at positions 28 to 507 of the family's 1533-position model. The record is from RNAcentral.
GAUGAACGCUGGCGGCGUGCCUAACACAUGCAAGUCGAGCGGCAAGACGGUGAGAUUGUUCCUUUGCCGUUAGCGGCUGGCGGGUGAGUAACGAGUGGAUCACAUACUUAUAUUUCUGGGAUAAUAUCGGAAGACCGGUGAUAAUACCAGAGCAUAUAUUGUACCGCAGAGUGCAAUGGUGAUAGACGGCUUUUGUGUAUGUUAGAGCUGAUUCCGGGCCGGCUUAGCUAGUUGGUAAGGUAACGGCCUACCAAGGCUACGAUGCGUAGCCGAUCUGAGAGGAUGAUCGGCCACACUGGAACUGAGACACGGUCCAGACUCCUACGGGAGGCAGCAGUAGGGAAUCUUACGCAAUGGGCGCAAGCCUGACGCAGCAAUGCCGCGUGAGUGAUGAAGGUCUUCGGAUCGUAAAGCCCUGUUAUUAGGGAAGAACAGCUGUAGAAUUAACCAUCGCUGUUUUGACGGUACCCAAUCAAAAAGCACCGGCUAACUACGUG